UAUUGCGCAAUGGGGGAAACCCUGACGCAGCGACGCCGCGUGAGUGAUGAAGGACUUCGGUUCGUAAAGCUCUGUUGCAAGGGAAAAAGUUCUGAUUGUACCUUGUGAGGAAGGGUCGGCUAACUUCGUGCCAGCAGCCGCGGUAAGACGAGGGACCCUAGCGUUGUUCGGAAUCAUUGGGCGUAAAGCGGGUGCAGGUGGCUUUGUAAGUCAGGUGUGAAAGCCCAGGGCUCAACCCUGGAAGUGCAUUUGAUACUGCGAAGCUUGAGUGCUGGAGAGGUUACUAGAAUUCCAGGUGUAGUGGUGAAAUACGUAGAUAUCUGGAGGAAUACCGGAGGCGAAGGCGGGUAACUGGCCAGACACUGACACUCAGACCCGAAAGCGUGGGGAUCAAACAGGAUUAGAUACCCUGGUAGUCCACGCCAUAAACGAUGGAUACUUGUUGUUGGAGGUUUUGACCCCUUCAGUGACGAAGCUAACGCGUUAAGUAUCCCGCCUGGGGAGUACGGUCGCAAGAUUAAAACUCAAAGAAAUUGACGGGGGCCCGCACAAGCGGUGGAGUAUGUGGUUUAAUUCGAUGCAACGCGCAAAACCUUACCUGGGCUUGACAUGGACUGGAAGAGUAGCAGAAACGCUCUCGCCCGCAAGGGCCGGUUCACAGGUGCUGCAUGGCUGUCGUCAGCUCGUGUCGUGAGAUGUUGG
This 702-nucleotide ribosomal RNA is filed under the name uncultured bacterium. RNAcentral describes it as "bacterial SSU rRNA". It matches the Rfam family "Bacterial small subunit ribosomal RNA", at positions 362 to 1078 of the family's 1533-position model. The record is from RNAcentral.